RNAcentral lists this ribosomal RNA (238 nucleotides) under uncultured bacterium. Its description in RNAcentral is "partial 16S ribosomal RNA". It matches the Rfam family "Bacterial small subunit ribosomal RNA", at positions 118 to 347 of the family's 1533-position model. The record is from RNAcentral.
UGAGUAAUCUGCCCUCGACACUGGGAUAGCCCGGGGAAACCCGGAUUAAUACCGGAUAGCCUUUCGAGCUCUCGGGCUCGUCAGAAAAGGAUGGCUUCGGCUUUCGGUUGAGGAUGAGCUUGCGGUGGAUUAGCUUGUUGGUGAGGUAACGGCUCACCAAGGCGACAAUCCGUAGCUGGUCUGAGAGGACGAUCAGCCACACUGGGACUGAGACACGGCCCAGACCUCGUACCGGGGA